RNAcentral lists this transfer RNA (70 nucleotides) under Aphyosemion coeleste (sky-blue killifish). RNAcentral describes it as "tRNA-Ile". Lineage: Eukaryota; Metazoa; Chordata; Actinopteri; Cyprinodontiformes; Nothobranchiidae. The record is from RNAcentral.
GGAGCUGUGCCUGAAUUAAAGGGUUACUUUGAUAGAGUAAAUAAUGAGAAUGAAAAUCUCUCCAACUCUU